CUCGGAAGAAACAGACGACGUCGCCAAUACCAUAUUGACUGUUUUAUCUUACGUAUUCAAGAAGCUCUAGAAACAAGAAGAUAUUCAAUGACCGAGUUUUGAGAAAUAGCUGCAGUGAGACGGCUUGAAGUCCAAUUUCAAAUGGACAUAGCAGUUAUGAGACAACAAUAUUUUGGUGACGAUUUGACAAUAGAGGAAGAGAUAUUAGUAAAUUAUCUGAGAAACUACGAAGUAGCAGCAG
Microplitis demolitor is the source of this 241-nucleotide long non-coding RNA. RefSeq lists it as uncharacterized. The transcript has 3 exons. The record is from RefSeq and is a predicted model, not a curated record. NCBI's taxonomy places the organism in Eukaryota, Metazoa, Arthropoda, Insecta, Hymenoptera, Braconidae.